RNAcentral lists this long non-coding RNA (1574 nucleotides) under Daphnia pulicaria. Its description in RNAcentral is "uncharacterized LOC124340692, transcript variant X1". The record is from RNAcentral. Lineage: Eukaryota; Metazoa; Arthropoda; Branchiopoda; Diplostraca; Daphniidae.
CACAUCAGUGUCGUCUGCAUUUCGUUUUGUUUCGAAAAAAAGUUUCGAAAAAAAUUACAAAAUUGUGGUCACACUCCACGCAGUUAAACAGAUUUUAGGCCUGAUUAAGUCAUCAUCACUACAAUAUCUACCAGCUUAUUUGCUUGUGCUGGUGUUGCCCUGUCAUCUGCAACAAUCUCAUCAUCAUCGCUUGGAACAGCAUCCUGUUUGAUUGCAGAAUUCCCCCAUCUUUAAAUAUCCUCUGUCCUUGUGUACACCCAUGUGUGUGUGGGUGUAUUCAUGAGGACCCCCUUUUUCCCUAUCCUGCCUGGUGUGUUCAACUCUUCAGCGAAUGGAUGAAGCACUUGUGGAUGCCUGGCUGUAUUUCCCAGGCUUAAAGGCGCAGCAGUACCGGCGUGUGGGGGCUCUAUGGCAUCGCGGAGACUGUGGGAAGAAGAUGAGGAGAUUAUCGCAAAGUAAAAGUCGAACACACACAAGAAGUUUUAUACACCGCGCGCCGCUUCUGUUUGAAUUGCUGGGGGAUUUUCUUCUUUUGCAUCUGCUAGCUGCUCUGCUGUGUGCCAUGAUAUUCCCAUUGGUCCUAUAUUAGUUGAUGUCCCUGUGCGCAUUCGUGUUCAUCCUCCUGUGUGUUUUGUGUCCAAACAGCCAGGCAAACAUCAUCCCCCGCGCAGCACGGAAGGAAAGCAGCCGAAUUGCUAUAUGAUGGUCAUUCAGUCCCAGCAGCACAGCAGCGGCAAGGAUUUUCUCCUUCAUUAGCUAUCGCGGCCGUUAUUGUUGUUCCGUCUCUUUCUCUCUCUAGUCUGUUUUCCUCCACGCUGGCUUUUUUCUUCCGCCAACAAAAGCAACACUGUUAUAUUUUUUUUUCUCUCUAUGCGCUUCUUCUUCCUCAUGAUGAUGAUGUGGCCCUGUAUAUUAUGUAUAUAGUAGAGCUGAUUCAGCCGGUUUGGCAGCUCCGGCUGCGUGGGAGGGCGGAGUAUAUAUCAACACAAACGUGAAAACAAGAUAUUAUUUUCUAUACAUACCAAGCCAGCAUUUUUCUUUUACGUGAUAUACUCUAUAAGCUUUAAGGGGGGUGGGAGAAAAGUCUACAUGGUGUAUAUAAGAAUGGGCGGCCACGCGACGAAAACCGUGACGUGAAGACGGACGGACAUACGCGGAUCAUUCCGUAAAUAGCCCCGGAACGCACAUCAGGAUGCGGAAUAUAGUAUGCGGAAAAGAUUUUCAAUUAGAUAUAGACCGACGGGGAGGGAUAUUGUAUAAUAGCCAUUCGAUCUGCCUGUUAAAUGUUUGCUUGCGCAGCGGAUGAUGUGAUGAUGACGUUGUCGAUCGACUUGAUCCCAACAAUGGCGGGCUAUUUAAACAUUCAUAUUUUCUGGAUGAGAAUCUAUUAGCUUUAUACACAAGGCGUUUGAUUGUGAUAUUUUAAAUUGACGGGUGGAUGAGGGGAGUUUUUGAAAGUACUUGAAUAUUAUUAUCAAGUGAGUAUUUAGAGAAAGCUGUACGUUUAUUAUACGUGUGAGAGACAGACCACCCUUAUUACUCUUGUGCGCACUGGGGGUUUGUAGAACGUACGU